GAUGAACGCUGGCGGCGUGCUUAACACAUGCAAGUCGAACGAAGCCAGCGGAGACUCUUUCCUUCGGGAGAGGGGAACCGCGACGCUUAGUGGCGGACGGGUGAGUAACGCGUGGGCAACCUGCCCCAUACCGGGGGAUAACAGCCGGAAACGGCUGCUAAUACCGCAUAAGCGCACGAUAGCGCAUGCUAUUGUGUGAAAAACUCCGGUGGUAUGGGAUGGGCCCGCGUCUGAUUAGCUAGUUGGCGGGGCAGAGGCCCACCAAGGCGACGAUCAGUAGCCGACCUGAGAGGGUGACCGGCCACAUUGGGACUGAGACACGGCCCAA
This 328-nucleotide ribosomal RNA is filed under the name uncultured bacterium. Its description in RNAcentral is "bacterial SSU rRNA". It matches the Rfam family "Bacterial small subunit ribosomal RNA", at positions 28 to 334 of the family's 1533-position model. The record is from RNAcentral.